RNAcentral lists this ribosomal RNA (253 nucleotides) under uncultured bacterium. Its description in RNAcentral is "partial 16S ribosomal RNA". It matches the Rfam family "Bacterial small subunit ribosomal RNA", at positions 524 to 776 of the family's 1533-position model. The record is from RNAcentral.
UACGUAGGGUGCGAGCGUUGUCCGGAAUUAUUGGGCGUAAAGGGCUCGUAGGCGGUUUGUCGCGUCGGGAGUGAAAACCUCGGGCUUAACUCGGGGCUUGCUUUCGAUACGGGCAGACUGGAGGUAUGCAGGGGAGACUGGAAUUCCUGGUGUAGCGAUGAAAUGCGCAGAUAUCAGGAGGAACACCGGUGGCGAAGGCGGGUCUCUGGGCAACAACUGACGCUGAGGAGCGAAAGCGUGGGGAGCGAACAGG